AACGAACGCUGGCGGCAUGCCUAACACAUGCAAGUCGAACGAGACCUUCGGGUCUAGUGGCGCACGGGUGCGUAACGCGUGGGAACCUGCCCUUAGGUUCGGAAUAACUCCCCGAAAGGGGUGCUAAUACCGGAUAAUGUCUUCGGACCAAAGAUUUAUCGCCUUUGGAUGGGCCCGCGUUGGAUUCGCUAGUUGGUAGGGUAAAAGCCUACCAAGGCGACGAUCCAUAGCUGGUCUGAGAGGAUGAUCAGCCACACUGGGACUGAGACACGGCCCAGACUCCUACGGGAAGGAGCAGUGGGGAAUAUUGGACGAUGGGCGAAAGCCUGAUCCAGCAAUGCCGCGGGAGUGAUGAAGGCCUUAGGGUUGUAAAGCUCUUUUACCCGAGAUGAUAAUGACAGUACCGGGAGAAUAAGCACCGGCUAACUCCGUG
RNAcentral lists this ribosomal RNA (433 nucleotides) under uncultured bacterium. Its description in RNAcentral is "partial 16S ribosomal RNA". It matches the Rfam family "Bacterial small subunit ribosomal RNA", at positions 29 to 507 of the family's 1533-position model. The record is from RNAcentral.